RNAcentral lists this ribosomal RNA (413 nucleotides) under uncultured bacterium. RNAcentral describes it as "bacterial SSU rRNA". It matches the Rfam family "Bacterial small subunit ribosomal RNA", at positions 127 to 518 of the family's 1533-position model. The record is from RNAcentral.
CCACCGUGAGUUAGGAAUAACGGCUGGAAACGGUCGCUUAAUACCAAAUACGCUCCGAUUUCAACUUCGGGGGAAAGGUGGCCUCUGCUUGCAAGCUACUGCUCAUGGAUGAGUCCGCGUCCCAUUAGCUAGUUGGUGGGGUAACGGCCCACCAAGGCGACGAUGGGUAGCCGGGUCUGAGAGGAUGACCGGCCACACUGGGGACUGGAACACGGCCCAGACUCCUACGGGAGGCAGCAGUGGGGAAUAUUGCGCAAUGGGCGAAAGCCUGACGCAGCGACGCCGCGUUGAGGGAUGAAGGUCCUCGGAUCGUUAAACCUCUGUCAGGAGGGAAGAACCGCCACGGUGCUAAUCAGCCGUGGUCUGACGGUACCUCCAAAGGAAGCACCGGCUAACUCCGUGCCAGCCGCCGC